AUAUGGCUCUGGAAACUACUUAAUUAUGAGUCCAUACUGAAUAUAUAAAUGACCUAUUCUUUUGACUUCAUAUGUUCUAGACAAGUGACAUUAACCAAAGGAUCUGGAUUAGAUCUUUGUAAUCAUACGUAACUGUUGUCAUCAAAAGAGUUUAGAUUGCCUUGUAGACCACUGGAAAUCUAACUAAUUUUAGAUACUUUUGCAUUGUAAAUCUUUGACUUCUUGCACCCUUUUUAAUCAUAAAACACGGAUACCAAAGCAGGUAUAUUUGCAGGUCAAAAGGAGUGGAUAACCACAGAAAGGAAAGAACACAGCAAUAUGGCUAUCUUUUUAUUUUCAAGACUACUAAGUGUUUCCUAGUAAAUGAUGUUCACCUUUA
This 379-nucleotide long non-coding RNA is filed under the name Phoenix dactylifera (date palm). RNAcentral describes it as "long non-coding RNA (PDAC_LNC002673)". Lineage: Eukaryota; Viridiplantae; Streptophyta; Magnoliopsida; Arecales; Arecaceae. The record is from RNAcentral.